CGUCGAAAACUUUGCAAUGCGGGAAACCGUGACAAGGGAACCCCGAGUGACCGUAAAUUCGGGCUGUUCCGGUGUACAAAAAGCACCGGNAGAAAGGGCCGGGCAAGACCGGUGCCAGCCGCCGCGGUAAUACCGGCGGCUCGAGUGGUGGCCACUAUUACUGGGCUUAAAGCGUUCGUAGCUGGAUUGUUAAGUCUCUUGGGAAAUCUACCGGCUUAACCGAUAGGCGUUCAAGAGAUACUGGCAAUCUAGGGACCGGGAGAGGUGAGAGGUACUCCAGGUGUAGGA
This 288-nucleotide ribosomal RNA is filed under the name uncultured archaeon. RNAcentral's name for it is "partial 16S ribosomal RNA". It matches the Rfam family "Archaeal small subunit ribosomal RNA", at positions 339 to 631 of the family's 1478-position model. The record is from RNAcentral.